Molecule: long non-coding RNA, 14339 nt
Filed under: Lynx pardinus (Iberian lynx)
Lineage: Eukaryota; Metazoa; Chordata; Mammalia; Carnivora; Felidae
Source: RNAcentral
GGCGAAGAGCAGGAGAGAGAGAAUCUCAAGCAGGCUCCACGCUCAGCGCAGGGCCCAAUGGGGGGCUCAAUACCUCGACCCUGAGAUCAUGACCUGACCCAAAAUCAAGAGUCAGACUCUCAACUGACUAAGGCACCUGGGCACCCCUGUCCUAUUAUUUUUCUUGGUAAACCAAACAGACAAACUGCAUACACAUAGUCAUUUAGUCAUUCGUUCAUUCGUUCAUUCGUUUACAGAGUGGUCACGCAUGUUCCCUGUUCCAAACCUUUAUCCCGUCAUGCCCGGACAAUUAUAACCAUCUUUUGCUUGUUUUCUCACCUUCUCUUUCUCCAUCUUGUGUGUUCACUUCUUCUUUUCCAAUCCCAUUGUCCUUCAUCUGCCCUCAGGAUCUUCCAGGUGUGUUGAAUUACAAGACUGAGAGCAGCCACUCUGCACAUGGGUGGGAAGUGUUGGAAGAAAGUACAAUUAUAAGGUGGGUGGAAAGGAGAAUCUGAGACUUUCUCUAUUUGAGGUGUCCAUGGGACAAAUGUGUGGAAAUUAUUGUCGGUGAAGCUCUAGAUCUGAGAAGAGAGAUUUUAUUUAAUGAAAUAAGGACACACAGAUAGUUCAAAGUCAAGAUGCUGAUUCGAUCACUAAAGAGAUAAAGUAAAAGAAAAUGAGAACUGGGCACAGAGUGGGUGACAAAUAAAUAUUUGCUGUUUGUGGUGUCUUACCUGGGAAACUUACUACCAGUAUGUCUCCUUUGAUGGUCAUGACCUGUUCCUUUUAGGGUGUGAAACUCUUUCGUUCCUGGUAUUUAUUAUAGAUUUGAACUCUCCACUUCAAAAGUCAUUUUAAAGAGAGGUAUUCAUAGAAACUUGCUCUCGGAUAAUCAAAUAGCAGUACAAUGGACAAAAACCUUCCAAAAGAAAUACUUAAAAUAGACUUUAACCCUUACUCACCUUGAGGUUAAGAAAAGAAGCUUGCUUUUUAUAAAAAGAAUAUCUAAUAUGAAUCAGAAUUAGAGAAGUAAGGCUGGAAGGAAUUUCAGAGCAUCGUAGCUGAAGCACAUAUUUGCUAGGAGAGUAAACUGAGGCAGAGAAUGACUAAGAAGUUAACCCAAGGCUUCCUGCCUUAAUUGGCAGAAAUCUUAGCCCCUGUUAUCUGAAUGACAAAUAUAGAGGAAGAAUCUUUUCUAGAAAUUCUGAUAAUGCUAGGAAUGCUCCCUGGACCCAAAGCAUCAGAAUAAAAACCUAUUUUACAAAUUAAAAUGUUAAAAUUUCAAUUAAAUUUCUAUUUAGUUGAAAAAGGUAAAACCUAACUGCUUUACUUGGGUUUCAUUGUUUCUUCAACUGUUGUUGGUUUUUUUGUUUUGUUUUGUUUUGUUUUGUUUUAAAGAAGGGGAUGUGGUUUGGAGUGGAUAAUACUGGGCCACUUUCAGCUCCAAAAACAUGGCAUUCUAUAAUUUUUGAAUCAUAAUAUAUUUGUAGAAGGAAUAAGGGAAAUGCCAGCAAAUUAAAUACUAAUACUAAUAUUUCAUAAUUAUAAGAAAUUCAAAAUUCUUGGUCAACACAAUAAGUUGUAAAGUGAAGCUUUAUUCUGUUUUGUCAACUCAUACCAAAUAACUGUUUUUUAAAUUGCUGUUCAUUCUGAUAAUUUGUAUACACAAGUCUUUUAAAAAUUGGAUUAUAAUAGAUACGGGUGAUUUCUACAGAUUAAAAAGCCAUAUUAUAACAUCCACAAGUAAACUUCAGACUUUCUUUUAUUUUAGAAGAGCAGGUAAAAACUAAUCAUUCCCUCUUUCUUUAUACUGUAUGCUUUUUUUUUUCUCCAGAUAAUGAAUAUUUUAAGUGUGAAAACCCAAACUUCCCAAAUACCUAUUCUUCUUUUAAAAAGAAUUGAUAUUACCUUCUUCCUCACCACCACCCCCCACCCACACACAUAAAUUGGGGGCAGUGGGGAGUAGGGGGCUGAAGUUUAGAAAUUGAAGAAAUGAUCAUCUCUAAUAUUCUAUUCCAUUCUGCAGAUGAAUCAUUGCAACCAAUAUCAGUGAAACAUGUUUUAUUCGUAGUCAGAAUUCAAGAAAAUGCCAAUUAUUCAUUCAUCUGACAUUGGUUCAUUUAUUUACUUAUUCAUUCAUUCAACAGAAAUUUUUGACCCUUGGUUUCUGUGCUAGGUAAUCAGGUAAAAAUGUGUAUAAUGUAAAACCAAACCAUUGCCUUUGGUGAACAUAGGGAAGAAACUCUUCUAUCAGACAGCCAGGACUUUUCAAAGGCAAUUUGGAGCAUGAUAUGAGGAAGCAGGCCACAAAAGGAAAAAGAGAUAACACAGUUCUUCCAUCAUUUCCCAUGUUAAUCCCAUUUGUAAAAUCACUGAGAAUCCCUAAAUCUUUUGCCAGAUUCACAAGUAUGCAAACUGAUUCACAACUGUAAGAUUAGACGAAGCUUACUAUUCAGUAGGAACACAAAACAAUGUUUUUAUAAAUUACAAAGAUUUAUUUGAAUUCCUCCUCUUUCCCCCAUAUAACACAUACAAAUCACCCUUUCUUCUGAAAAUUGGCCAAUCAUCAAAGUCACUCAAAGGUUUUGAUGCCUUUAUUUGCCAUCCAGUCAUUGUCCUGAGGCUGUAACAGAAUAGAACAGUAGAACAGGAGCUGAAUCGGUGGGGCAGAGCAACCCUAAAAGAAAAUCUUGACCCACUGUCCUUCACAUACUCAAUGUGGUUGUAUAGUAUACUAUAAUUCUAGAGUUAUAUCAUAAGGAUGCUUCUGGAAUGAAUGUUAAACCUUUAGAAAAUUCAGAGUACCAACUCCUUAAAGGUGGAGAUAAUAUAAUAUAGUAUAGUAUAAAAUAGUGUAGUAUCGUAUCUUCAUAUAGUGAAGAGAAUAUAGAUAAUAUAGCAGAAGAAAGAUUGUGGUUAAAUGACCCAGGCAUAAAUCCUUGUAUAAAUCUGAGUCUUCCCAUUUUUAAAAUAGGCAUAAUAAUGCCUACCAUGCAGGAUUGUUACGAGAAUAAAUAGGUAACCAAUAAAUUGUUAUUUAUACCGGUAGUUCUAAACUGGAGAUGAUUUUGUGUCCCUUACUCACCCCCUUCCACCAAGGGGCAUUUGGCAAAGGCUAGUGACAUUUUUGGUUUACACAACUAGAGAAGAGGUCAAGAUGCUGCUAGAUAACCUAUAAUGCAUAAAACAUUCCUCACAACAAAGAAUUAUCUGGCCUAAGUGUCAACAGUGUGGAGGGUAGACAACUUGAAUGUGUACAGAGCACAUAGCAGGUGGACAGGAGGUGAUGGUUAUUACUAUUACCUGCAAUGUUUCAAAACUAGAUCUAAUGUAAAAACAUUGUGUGUGUAGAGUGAAUAGACUAAAUAUUUCUCUAGCCUUUAUAAUGAAUUAACUCCAAGAUUUCCUUGGAGAUGUACAUAAUCAAUUACAUACUUAAAAACUAUUCUCAAUAGCUCCAGUGACAUUCAAAAUGGAUCUAGGCUGAAACAGACUUCUGUGCAUGCAUAAAGGAAUUUUCCUGUCAAUAUUAUUGUAUGUCAAACAGAAAAACUCUUGAUAUGCAAGACAACUAGAGCAAGAAAGGCGUAGUCUGAAAAUAAAAUUGAAAAUAGUUUUCUAAGCUUCAUUUUCCAAUAUGUUCUGUUUUGGAGCUCUUAUGGUUAUCUGGAUAUUCUAUUCCCCUCUUUCCUCUUUAUGUUACCAUGAACUGAGAUCCUCACAAACUUUGGGUCUUGUCCUUCACACCUGUCUUCCCAGGACACUUUGGCUUUGGGGUCUGUGGGGCAUUGCGUGCUAUCAACAAAAUACAUUCUAAAGCCUGUGGACUCCUGAAAGUCUUCAAUUUUUUAUUUCUGUGCAUUCCUAUAAACAUAACAUUCCUUUGUCUUCUCUAUUAUGGAAUUGUCCCAUGGUGUUCCUUUGUAGGAAUUUUCUUCCAUGAUAACAUUGAAAAAUCACACAGUGCUUGGAAUGCAUUACAGUUGGAAUAUUUUUUUUGACAUACCAUUCAAAAACUCUUUAAAAGCUCAAUCUAUUAAAUCAGAUUCUGACAUUAGUCUACACUAAAUUUCAUCUAGUUUCUUGCUCAUCAUUUUAAUGGUAUAUUUUAGAUCUGACAUCCUCAUGUAAAACCUUUAUUAUUUUGCCCUGUGACAAUUCAAAAAAUCUUCUCUCUUAUAACUUCUUUCCCAACUUGCCCCAACUGUCCACAAGACAGUUCAGUUCAUCAUUUCUGCCUCACUAUAACCACUGUGCUUUCUGCAUAUUACGAAACUGCUCAUGUACAUUCUUUCAUAAUCAAUGUCGAAUAUUUAUUUACAAUAGACUGAAGACAGUGGUUGUUUUAAUAAUCUUUGUAUUUCUACAGCUUAGUGCAAUGCAGACAUACCACAAACCCUCCAGUUAAUGUUGAUUCAAUGGAUAAAGAUUGACACACAUCAAACCAGAUUAUGCCAUAGGUAUUGCAGAUUUCCAAAAAUCUGCAUUCUUUUUCUUAUCAAUGCUGCUUUUCUUAUCAAUGCUGCUUAUCAAUUUUCUUAUCAAUGCUGCUUUGGUUCUUUCUGUUUAAUGUUAGAAGCAUCAUGAACAUGUCAUAGGUGGAAUAUAUCUUUAAAUAACACCAGAACUUAGAGUGGAUCUAAGUUUUGGAGCCACGGGGAGGAUUCUGAGAAUAAGUAUUGUUAAGAGCUUGUGUUUGUCUUGAACCCCUUAAAGUUCAUGAAUAAGAUAGAACUUUAUAUCCUUGCUAAGUGUGAAAGAAGGGAGAAGAAAUGAAGUUAGGCAAAAUCUUAAUUAUAAAUAAAGGAAGCCCCCACACUGGUGGCAUUUCAUUUACUCCAUAGUUGUAUGUGAAAUCGCACUGGACUAAAACUUCUUUGCCAAAUAUUUAAUUUUAUAAUAUACUGUCCAAAUGAAGGAUUUUGACAUUCCAAUCUGACUUUCAAAUAAGUUAUUAAUUAAAGCUGAGAAAAAAUUUCAGACUUGCCUUCAAUUCAAUAAAUAUUUGUUGAAUAUUUAUUAUGUAUUAGACACUAUUCUAGGUACUUGGGACAUAGCAGUGACCAAAACUUCUGUUCUUAAAACUUACACUAAAUCUAUAUUCAUUUGCAGCUGGAGGAAUAAGAACCAAGUAACAGUUUGCUUCCUAAAUAAGUUAAUAGUUUAAUAUACUGUUUGCAUUUUUCUGAUAUGUUUAUGUGAUUAUCUGGAUUUCAUAAGAAAGAAAGAAUGCAUGAGUUCCUUUUGUAUUCAUUCCAGGUAGCUGAGACUGAAUAGUUUGAAAGCUGUUUCCUAGGAAGCUUCAGUGAUGGUUUGGUGAAUUCCCAGUUAGGACGAUUUUCUACUGUGCUUUGUAAUUUGCUGUUUGACUUUCCUAGAAUCACUGUUCGUUGUCUCCUAGAAAUAUAGUAAGAAAUAGUUUUAUCUAGCUACCCAUUUAGGUGAUAUGUUGAAGUUUUAACCUUUUAUUUUAGGAUAAACAAACACAGAGAGUUUGUUCAAGGAUGGGGAGAAAUAGGGAGAAAAAAACUUACUUCUGGUCGUUAGUGUAAAUCCAGUUGUCUGUACAUUAUAGGGAAUUAGUCGCUUUUUAGAAAGAGCUUUUAAUUGCCUAAUCUAAGUAAUGUGGGCAAUGGCAUACGUGUUUUAUUUUAGGGUCUAUCUAGCCCACUCAGAAAAUGUAAUGGACCUAAUUUUCAUUUAGUAUAGGUCUGUGCAGUUCCUAAAACAUCUAAAUGGCUAUUAAUUUAAUCAGGUAAUUUAACUAUAGCUCUAGAAAAGGCCACCAGCUAGUUGUCACGCAAUGAUUAUGAGGAUGACAUUUCUAUCCCAUGAUGCCAGAGGCAGACUUUGAUACAUCAUUUUCUUUUUGAAGGUUAAACUCAGAUAACCUGCCUUUGGCAUUUAAUUAGCUACAUAUUAAACACUCUUUUAAUAAUAAAAUGAUUAAAAAUUUUAUUGCUUCUCAAAUGAGGCCCUUUUAGAUAGAUUUAAUGACUUGGUUCGAGCUCUGUAGUUUGUGAACCAAACCUUACUUAGGCCAGGGUGUAGUAAUGAUAUGCUUUACAGCUUGCAAAAUCUGUAUUUUAUUCAAAUGAUGGCCAUAAUCAUUUUGGAUAAAACUUAUAAUGCUUUCUUCUGUAUUUUUAAGUCUAACUGUUAAAUGUCAUUGGAAACUAACCAGAAACCCAUUGAUUCAAAAUUUCCAGAAAUUGUCAAGUUCAAGAUUCAUAAAGAGACCAUGAAGUCUGCUUAAUGUGCUGAAUCUUAUAUACUAAUUGUUUACCCUUUGAAAAAUCAUUUGUCGUCAUUGAAUGCCUGCAAGGAAAAAAAAAACUAUUAUAGAAAUGACAGAGAAGUGUGAGUGGCCUACAAAUGCCCAUCCAUAUUUUCAGCUAAUAUUAGCUGUUUAGUGAAAAUGGUCAUCAAGAGACCAUUCGUUGUUCAUCCUCAGCAUGACUUGGUGGGGGUAAGGGGCAGUUACAAUGUCUGUGAAAUAGGUGAAAGAGACAGAAUGCUGUCACACCAGAACAUGGAUAACUAGAGUCUGAAUAAAGGUGACCAUUUUACUUUUAUUCCUUUUAAAAGUUUUUACUUAAUUUUGAAUUUAUGUUAUUUAUUUAUUUAUUUUGUUGUAUAUGCAGCAGCUUUUAGCACUCAGUUCAAUGAGAUUCGACAGAAAUGUACACCCAUGUAACCACUGUCUCGAUCAGGCAAUUAGCUGUCAGACUUCCACAUGCUUUCUUUCCCACAACUUCCUUCUGCUUGUUUUACAACAUCAUGUAGAUGUAACCGUACAGCUUCUUUCGCUUAUCACAUUAUUUUUUAUAUUUACUUGGGUAAUAUAACAGUUGACAGUUUGCAGAUUUUUACAGUUGUACUAUUCCAUUGUGUGAAGGACCAGUCACCUGUUGAUGGAGGUUUGGGUUGUUUCUAGUUCUUUAUUCUAUUACUCAAGCUAUGAACAUGCUUUUGUCAUUCUUUGUUGAAUACAUGGUCUCAUUACUAUUGAGUAAAUAUCUAAGAGUGGCAUCAUUGGGUCAUUAUAAUACUUGCCUGUUUCACUUGAGGAGAAACGGCCAAUAUCUUCACUUUCGGUGUAGUUGUGAAUGAGCUAGCACCCACUUCUUUUAGCUUGGAAAGAUAAAAGUAUUCAGUGAAUAAUAUUCAAUGUAGUGAACGCUGCAAGUGUGUUUAGAAUUGUAAUGGUGAUUUUCUUCUCUCUGUAGAUGUAGAACUUUUCAUUUUGGUGAUUUGACAGAGAAGUCCCUUCCUCCCCAUUCAAAAUCAACAGAUUAUUGCUUUUAUUUCACGUGUAGGUAAAUGUGAAUCAAUAUGGUUCUUUGGGGUUUGGCUUGUUAGAGAAAAUAAGGGAAAAACCCACCAACACACAAACUGGCAAUCAAAUUAAGAUGAAUAUUUCAGAAGAGGCCACCUGUGACUUUGUACAUUAAGGAAAUAUGUAUGUGGCAGAGGGCGAUAAUUCUGAUCGUUAGCACCCGGAGUCUGCAACAGAUUACCAAAUAGCGUUAGAAAAUAUUGUUUCUCUUUGCUUUAGAAUACAAGAUAGCUGGUCCAAAUGAUGAAGAUCCCAGAUCUUCCUUUAACUUUUUCAGCAUAGUUGAUUGAAAUUAAGUGAGGUCCCAUGAAAAAAAAAUUUCCCACACCAGAUUUGUUAUUGUAAACUUCUUCUGACUUGGGGGUGUGAAUUCCUGAGAUCCUUGAGUCUAGGGAGAGUACUUUCUAUUAACAAUUGACUUACUAAUAUUUUAUGGGCAUUUCUUCUAAAUCCUAUGCUAGUUUUUUCCUUGAUAAAUUGUACAUUUGGGUUUCUUAGGCCAAGAGAGAUUGUUUUAAAAAGAUAAUCAAUAGAUAAAUGUGUCUUUUUAUUGCUUUAUUAGAGAAUGGUUUUUGUUUUAUUAGAGAAUAGGUAUUUUUUGCAGAAAAAUUAGAAAAUGCAAAUAUGCAAAAAAGAAAAACUAGUUGUAAUUCUGCCACACACAGUCAUUAAUAUCACAGUGAAUAUCCUUUCAGGUUUUUUAUGCAUAUGUGUAUGCAUGUAUAUACUUUUUAAAAACAGUAACCUAUUUACAAAAUAAUCUAUUUAUUACCAAAAUAUAAAAAUGUCUCUGUAGUCAGUAUUAUCUACAAAGUAAUUUUAAAUAUUUGAACAAUACUAUAUUGUGUCAUAUUUAUGUAACCGACCUCAUACUGUUGGGCAUUUAUAUUGCUUACAAUUGUAUUUUCUUAUACACAGUGAUGAAGUAAACUUCCCUAUAGACAGAUAAUUUUAUACAUCUGAAAUUUUUCCCUUAGGAUAACUUUCUGUAAAUAGAAUUGUACAAUUAAUAGGUAUCCAUAAUAAAGGUUUUUGCUUGGCAAAUUAUUUUUAUACAGGGAGCAAGCAAACUUGAACAUACUAUUCUACAAUUAAUUCUUGUUACUCAGUUGUAACUUUUUAUGGAACAUUUGUUAUUUAUAGUACAAAAAUAUUGAAAAGUUUUGUGGUCUACAGAAAUAUCCUUGACCUUGGACCUUGUGAAAAAAAACUUUCAUUAUAGUUUGAUUCCAUCAGCUGAGAGUAGAUUCCUGUUUACAUAGAACCUAUAUCUUUAGUGUAAGUGUAUAACUCCAGGUAUACAGGUCUCUCAGUAGAAACUAACCAGUUUUGAGUCAAAUGAAAUUGGCUUCUCUUCAGAAGGCACUUUAUUUUAACUUACUUUUAAUGAUCUGCAGCCCCUUUCUGAUGAUCUCGACCUAUACUGCCCAAUAAGAUAGCCAUUAGCCACCUGAAAGAUGGCUGGUCAGAAUUGAGAUUUAAUAUAAAAAAAUGUAAAAUACCCUAUUAAUAACUUUCAUAUUGAUUACAAAAUGAAAUUAUAAUAUUGGAGAUACAUGGAGUUCAAUAAAAUAUAAUAUUAAAGUGAAUUUUACCUGUUUCUUCUUAGUUUUUUCAACAUGGUUGUUGGAAAAUGUUCAAUUACCCUAUGUGGCUCCCGUUUUAUUUCUAUUGGACAGAGUGCAUCUACAUGUAUAUUCCCCUGAUACAGAAAAUAUAAAACAAGUAUCUCCACAUGUUAAUUAUAUUUUCAUGGCUAUGAAAACCAUAGUCAAGGGAGGGAGGUUUCAGUGGGUCUACAAAGGUGCCUUCAAUGUGAUGUCUGAUAAGUGAGGAAAUCACUGAGAGGAGAAAUCUCACACUUGCCUUGAGCGCCAGGAUUCUACAGAUGGCAGACCAGUUCUUCUUAGCAGCGUUACAGACCCUCUCUCUGCUGAAGCUCUGAAUUGUUGAAAAGGAUGAUGUGUUCUCACAAGGGGAAUGGAUAAAGUGAACAGCAUUCCAUUCCAAAUUCUCUCUGUUUCCAAUCUUGAUGAUCACUUCACAUAUGCCUAAUUUUCAUUUAUCCUCAUGCAGUCUCAACACAAAAGACGUGAGUAAACUCAAGUGAAGAACCGAACUACCCCCAGGCAGCUAGAGACAUGAAGUUUGGAAAUAGAACUCCAUGUGAAUUUUUGUUGAGGUACUGCCUAUAACUUCAGAAUGCAGUGGAGAAUUGAGGCAUAUACCCUUCUCCAAAAAGAAUGAACAACAAUAACAACAAAAGCUGAUAGAUAAGUGACUGAAUAAUUCAGAUUAGGCAAUUGACUUGAAGCUCUCAUAUAAUUGUCCCCUUGUGUGUAUAGACCCUGCCAACUGUGGAAGACCAUCCAAAUAGAGAAGGGUAAUGCUAAUGCUGCAACACAAGUCGUGUGGUUUGGAGCCUGCACUCCUGAUUACUAAAUUAUCCUGCAAUAAAUGUCUUCUGAAUGAACGAAAGGAUGAAUACAUGCAUUAUGCAGGACAGAUUUGCCAUAAUAUUUUCAAGGAUUUGCUAUCAUAUUAUUAUUGCUAAAGCUCCCUCCAAAUAAAGCUACUGAUCUUCAGGAAAAGAUUUUUCUGGAGGAAACCUUGGGAUAUGAUAGAAUAAAUAUGCAUAUGGUGUUGGUUUAGCAUACACAGGUGAUUUAAAAAAAAUCUUAACGUUUAUUUAUUUUUGAGACAGAGAGAGACAGACCGUAAACAGCGGGGGCCGGGGUGGGGGGAGAGAAGGGCAGAGAGAGAGAGAGAGAUUGAGACACAGAAUCCAAAGCAGGAUCCCGGCUCUGAGCUGUCAGCACAGAGCCCCAUUUGGGGCUUGAACUCCUGGACCAUGAGAUCAUGACCUGAGCAGAAGUCAGACACUCAACCAACUGAACCACCCAGGUGCCCCACACAUAGGCAAUUUUGAACAUGACAUGCACUGUGCCUCCAGGGAAGUGUGAGGUUGAAAUACACAGUAAUCCCAUCGAGGGAUGAAGGUGAAAUGGAAGCCUUGUCUUGGAGAAGAAUGGCUCAUGCUCUGGAAAGUCAGGCUAGCAGAGAGUAUGCACAUCGAUUCAGGCACCAGACUUCCAGCUAUCUCUGACCCCUAUGACAUGUAAGGCAAGCCACUAACUUUUUUGAGCUUCAGUUUUUUCUUCCGAAAAAUGAUGAUAAUAUUAGUCCCUACUUCCUGGGUUGUUGUGAGAACCAAAUGAGAUAGAUGUGCGUGAAGCACGAAGUAUAGUGCCUGACCCACAGCGAGUCAAUUAGUGUCUGAUGUGUCAUUGGUGCUGCGGCUCUAAAUCUCCUGCCUAUACUCUGCUGAGGCAUACUGUCCUAUUUUUGGUUUUAUCUCUAAAGAAUUGUUAGGGAGCUCUCGUGUUUUAGUCAGGCUUGAAGAAGAGGUUUAUUAUAAAAACAGAUCUUCAUCAUCAGGCCGGUUCCGUAGGUCACUUGCUUCUUUCUCAAGGCAGGGGUUAGCCAGAAGGCCAAGCAGCAUUUCCUCCAACUUUCUCUUGGCUUGGGUCAAGUUGCUUCAGUAUACCAGCAUCUCUCUCCCUUUCAAUCCAAUUCUCCUCGCCUCCAACCUAUAAAUUGGCUUCGGAAAAUAUUUUUUUCUACAAGUCCAUAGAAAGGGAAAAAAUAGACUUAGUUUUCCUCAAAGUCCCAGGAGUGUCUCUCUCUGGGACAAAGACGGGUUACUUGUUUUCCAGAGCAAUAGGAGGGCCAUUAGUGCAACUGUAUUGAUAUACUUCCCUAGUCAACAAACAUCCCCAGCCAGGGACCUGGGUAGUGGUAAGAUACAAGCCAAAUGUGUAUUUAAUGACUGAGUCCAUAAUUUUAGUUUCCAAUAUGACAUCUAUAAAUUGGAGAUUUUUUUUCUAUUAAAGUCAACAUGAAAUCUUUUUCUGUUGAAGUCUGAUGAUUGACUUGAUUUGUAUAUGGCAAAUAAACAAAAUGUAGCUACUUUUUAAUGUGAACAUCAGGAUUGGUUAAAGAAAUUAUAAUAUAGCCAUACAAUAUAAUAUGCGCCAGCCAUUGAUAAAGCUGUCUUGGGAAUAUAUUUAUAGACAUGUAAAGCUGUUCACCGUGUUCUUAAGUGAAAAAAGGGCGAAUUUGUGAAGCAGUAUGGUUCCAGGUUUUCAGAAAAACGUCUGAAUGUCUAGGAACAAAAGUGUUAAUGAUUGUUAAUUUUAAGGUGGUAGGAGGGGCCACCGGGUGGCUCAAUCAGUUAAGCGGCUGACUUCGACUCAGGUCAUGACCUCACAGCUUGGUGAGUUUGAGCCUCACAUCGGGCUCUGUGCUGACAGCUGGGAGCCUGCAGCCCGCUUCCGAUGGAUUCUGUGUCUCCCUCUCUCUCUACCCCUCACCCGCUUACACUCUGUCUCUCUCUGUCCUUCAAAAAUAAAUAAACAUUAAGAAAAAAAAAUUAAGUUGGUAGGAAAUGGGAAAUUUUUAUUUUGUGUGUUUUUAAAAAUGUCCUCAUUUCUAUAAGUGAAAACAACAUAUCUCUCAUUUAUGAAAGACGUGCUGAAUCAAGCUAUAAUACAUGAAUGCAAUGAACACUGUCAUGAGCCACUGAAAAUUUUAGUGGAUUAUUUGUGAACAUUUUGUUCUCUUUAAAAAAUAGAAUGAGAAUUAAUAGGAAAGAAUCAUUCAACAAGUAUUGCAAUUUCUUGAGUGCCUAUUGCCUGUGAGGUGCUAAGUGAAUAAUAUUAACACUUACAGGGUAAGUUUACUGUAUCCAUUUUAGUGUUAAGAAACGUGAAAUCAGGGAACCUGAUUUGCACAAGUCCACAAUGAUAGAACAAGGACUCAAAGUUGGGUCCCAUUCUACCACUGCAACGUCCUUCUCAAAAUGAAGACCAGAGGAAUCAAAUCAUUUUUUCACUGUCUCAGCUAACAUAUCGCAGAUCUGUGAACUGAACCUGGGUCUUGCUGACCCCAAAACCCAAGUUUUGUUUACUACACUGCUCUUGUCCUCAUGUUUGCUCGUGUUUUACUGGCCAAAGCAAGUCAUGGCCAAGUCUAGAGACAACAUAGAAAGGAGCUAACACAGGUCUGGGUAUUGGGAGGUGUGAUUCAUUGGGGGUCAUUCAUAUAUAAUCUACAAAACUGAACGAGCAUCAGAGUAACUAAAAUGGUUGAAGACAUGAGAUGGGAGGAAAGUACCUGUAAUAAGAGUGUUAAAAUUUCUCCUCUGAAAAGGAACUUGAAGACAAGAAUGUGGGUAAAUAAAUCUGACCAUCUUUAUAAAGCCAGAAAUACUGUAAAGAGAAGCCACCAUUUGAAACUAAGUCUAAAUGAAUUUCAAACAAAUUUUUUAAAUUAUGAUUUAUAAUUUCAGUUACCUAAUAAUUAAUUCGGGGGAUUCAGUAUUCUAUGAGGAAGCCCUGGAAUGAAAUACAAAUUGAUCAAGAAAGAAUGUAAAAAAUUCAUGUAUGUUAGAACUAUAAAUGGGAUUAAGAUGAGCAAUGGUUUCCAAAAAUCAUCAAAAUCAUUUGGGGAACUUUGAAGCAUAUAUAUCUUGGGCUCCAAACCCAGGGAUUUUACUGUUUAAGUGUUUAGAACACUUCAGGUCCCAACCUUCUCAGAUGAUGGUUUUGCACUAAAACCCCCAAAUUCCAACCUUCUCUAGAUUUCAAAAAAUGGUAUGAUUUUUCAGAAAAGGACUAGACCUUCAAUACUUUUUAAAGCAUAAAACUUUCUCAGAAGAGGGACUAGCUGUGUCAACUUUGGGUAAGGUAAUACAUUCUUCUCAAGCAACUCCCCACUGUUUCUCCAUCCUUCAUCUGGAAAAUGCAGACAAAAAUACCACCUUCAUAGGGGUUUUGGUAAGGAUUAAAUGAAGCAACCUAUAAAAGUCCUUAGCAAGCCUUGUAUACACUGAGGGCUCAAUAAAUGGCAACAAUUAGCACUAUUACUAACAAUUUGCUGAUAGUGUUUUUUGGAAAUAGACUACUUGAGUGGAUGGGCCCUAGUUUUGGCUGAGUAUGACCCUUCCUGUUUCUAUGAUCUCCCUGUGUUGAAACUGAUAAGAAAAGAAGAUGAUUUACUCUUGAGGUAAUAGAAUUACCCUUGUGCUUGAAACCUGUAUCAAAGUAGAACUAUCAGUACACAACUGGAAGGUAGCUAGCAGGACAUAGGGUAUGUCCGAGAAAUAAUGAUGGCAAUGAUAAUAAUGAUUCUUGCUGUCAUUUACUGAGAUCCCACUAUGUUGCAAGCACUGUUCCAGCCAUUUAUGUCCAGUAUCUGGCUUCAGUACCAUGGCAGUCUAUUAAAAAUAUUCUACUAUUUUCUGGGGCACCUGGGUGGCUCAGUUGGUUAAGCAUCCAACUUUGGCUCAGGUCAUAAUCUCAUGGUUCAUGAAUUUGAGCCCUGCAUGGGGCUGACUGUCAUCAGUGUGGAGCCUGCUUCAGAUCCUCUGUCUCCCUCUCCCCCCUGCCCUUCCCUGACUCACACACACGUGUGUGUGUGUGUGUGUGUGUGUGUGUGUGUGUGUGUCUGGGUCUGUGUGUUCUCUCUCUCUCAAAAAUUAUUGGACAUUAAAAAAAUAUUCUAUUAUUUUCAUUUUACAGAUGAGGAAGCUGAGACUUGAAGAGAUUAAGCUCCUUGUCCACAGUCGGCCCAGUGUUCCAGCCUUCUGCCGUCCGAGUCAGAUAGAGACUUGACAAUCCAGUUAAAGAUAGGAAUUUUACAUUCAUUAUUAUCGCUGUCUCCUCAAGUUUUUAUUGAGGGAAUGAAUGGCACAGUUUGGAAGUGUGCAGUUUGGAAACUUCCUUCUCUAAGAGAUUUUGUUUUAGCCUUCUCUCUCAAAUAGGCUUACUUUUCUAAGAGCUUGCUUGUUCUUGAAGCCCAUUUCUCAACAUUGCUAUGGUAUGAAUGGAGAACCGUGGGCAGUUUGGGAAAAACCAUGUUUGAGUGGUUUGUGGUAAUGAAGAGGAGAUGGUCAUUUCACAUUGUCUAUGUCUAUUCUUUUUUCUCUAGACUUUUGGGUGAGUCAUAGCUUUGUCCAAGG